This 900-nucleotide ribosomal RNA is filed under the name Vibrio sp. RNAcentral's name for it is "bacterial SSU rRNA". It matches the Rfam family "Bacterial small subunit ribosomal RNA", at positions 56 to 935 of the family's 1533-position model. Lineage: Bacteria; Pseudomonadati; Pseudomonadota; Gammaproteobacteria; Vibrionales; Vibrionaceae. The record is from RNAcentral.
UGCAAGUCGAGCGGAAACGAGUUAUCUGAACCUUCGGGGAACGAUAACGGCGUCGAGCGGCGGACGGGUGAGUAAUGCCUAGGAAAUUGCCCUGAUGUGGGGGAUAACCAUUGGAAACGAUGGCUAAUACCGCAUAACGCCUACGGGCCAAAGAGGGGGACCUUCGGGCCUCUCGCGUCAGGAUAUGCCUAGGUGGGAUUAGCUAGUUGGUGAGGUAAGGGCUCACCAAGGCGACGAUCCCUAGCUGGUCUGAGAGGAUGAUCAGCCACACUGGAACUGAGACACGGUCCAGACUCCUACGGGAGGCAGCAGUGGGGAAUAUUGCACAAUGGGCGCAAGCCUGAUGCAGCCAUGCCGCGUGUGUGAAGAAGGCCUUCGGGUUGUAAAGCACUUUCAGUCGUGAGGAAGGUAGUGUAGUUAAUAGCUGCAUUAUUUGACGUUAGCGACAGAAGAAGCACCGGCUAACUCCGUGCCAGCAGCCGCGGUAAUACGGAGGGUGCGAGCGUUAAUCGGAAUUACUGGGCGUAAAGCGCAUGCAGGUGGUUUGUUAAGUCAGAUGUGAAAGCCCGGGGCUCAACCUCGGAAUUGCAUUUGAAACUGGCAGACUAGAGUACUGUAGAGGGGGGUAGAAUUUCAGGUGUAGCGGUGAAAUGCGUAGAGAUCUGAAGGAAUACCGGUGGCGAAGGCGGCCCCCUGGACAGAUACUGACACUCAGAUGCGAAAGCGUGGGGAGCAAACAGGAUUAGAUACCCUGGUAGUCCACGCCGUAAACGAUGUCUACUUGGAGGUUGUGGCCUUGAGCCGUGGCUUUCGGAGCUAACGCGUUAAGUAGACCGCCUGGGGAGUACGGUCGCAAGAUUAAAACUCAAAUGAAUUGACGGGGGCCCGCACAAGCGGUGG